GAUGAACGCUAGCAGGAGGCUUAAUACAUGCAAGUCGAGGGGUAACGAUGGUGCUUGCACCAGGCGACGACCGGCGAACGGGUGAGUAACGCGUACAUAACCUACCUAUAAGAGGAGGAUAGCCCUGGGAAACUAGGAUUAAUACUCCAUAUUAUUAUGAUUUAAAUUAUAAUGAAAGCUCCGGCGCUUAUAGAUGGAUGUGCGUCCCAUUAGCUAGUUGGUAAGGUAACGGCUUACCAAGGCUACGAUGGGUAGGGGGCGUGAGAGCGUGAUCCCCCACACGGGUACUGAGACACGGACCCGACUCCUACGGGAGGCAGCAGUAAGGAAUAUUGGACAAUGGGCGCAAGCCUGAUCCAGCCAUCCUGCGUGUAGGAUGAAUGCCCUAUGGGUUGUAAACUACUUUUAUAAGAGAAGAAAAGUCAGGAUUUAUCUUGAUCUGACGGUAUCUUAUGAAUAAGCACCGGCUAACUCCG
This 476-nucleotide ribosomal RNA is filed under the name uncultured Saprospiraceae bacterium. Its description in RNAcentral is "bacterial SSU rRNA". It matches the Rfam family "Bacterial small subunit ribosomal RNA", at positions 28 to 505 of the family's 1533-position model. The record is from RNAcentral. Lineage: Bacteria; Pseudomonadati; Bacteroidota; Saprospiria; Saprospirales; Saprospiraceae.